RNAcentral lists this ribosomal RNA (253 nucleotides) under uncultured bacterium. Its description in RNAcentral is "partial 16S ribosomal RNA". It matches the Rfam family "Bacterial small subunit ribosomal RNA", at positions 524 to 776 of the family's 1533-position model. The record is from RNAcentral.
UACGAAGGGGGCUAGCGUUGCUCGGAAUCACUGGGCGUAAAGCGCACGUAGGCGGCUUUUUAAGUCAGAGGUGAAAUCCUGGAGCUCAACUCCAGAACUGCCUUUGAUACUGGAGAGCUUGAGUCCGGGAGAGGUGAGUGGAACUGCGAGUGUAGAGGUGAAAUUCGUAAAUAUUCGCAAGAACACCAGUGGCGAAGGCGGCUCACUGGCCCGGUACUGACGCUGAGGUGCGAAAGCGUGGGGAGCAAACAGG